AUUGAACCCUGGCGGCAUGCCUUACACAUGCAAGUCGAACGGCAGCAUGAUCUAGCUUGCUAGAUUGAUGGCGAGUGGCGAACGGGUGAGUAAUACAUCGGAACGUGCCCUGUAGUGGGGGAUAACUAGUCGAAAGAUUAGCUAAUACCGCAUACGACCUGAGGGUGAAAGUGGGGGACCGCAAGGCCUCAUGCUAUAGGAGCGGCCGAUGUCUGAUUAGCUAGUUGGUGAGGUAAAGGCUCACCAAGGCGACGAUCAGUAGCUGGUCUGAGAGGACGAUCGGCCACACUGGGACUGAGACACGGCCCAGACUCCUACGGGAGGCAGCAGUGGGGAAUUUUGGACAAUGGGCGAAAGCCUGAUCCAGCAAUGCCGCGUGUGUGAAGAAGGCCUUCGGGUUGUAAAGCACUUUUGUCCGGAAAGAAAUGGCUCUGGUUAAUACCUGGGGUCGAUGACGGUACCGGAAGAAUAAGGACCGGCUAACUACGUG
This 490-nucleotide ribosomal RNA is filed under the name uncultured bacterium. RNAcentral's name for it is "partial 16S ribosomal RNA". It matches the Rfam family "Bacterial small subunit ribosomal RNA", at positions 30 to 507 of the family's 1533-position model. The record is from RNAcentral.